GCAGGUUCAGCUCAUUUGACAGCAGGCUUUAUGUUCGUGCGGCUCGGGUGAUAUGAAAUAAACUGAGCAGGAAACAAAUGGAGUCCAGAGGUGAUCCAGGAGCUCGAACUGAAUAGCUUUUCACUAGAAGACUACACAUACUCUUGGACUACACAUCUUGUGAUAAACCGGUUUCGUUGGGACUCUUAUCGUGCCGAUUAUGAGGCUUCCUGAGGCCGAGGAAGCCCAUCGCAAGCCUUCAAUGGGAAUGGGAGCGACGGGCCUCCACUGAAUGUGUCACACAGGUGUGAGCUGAGGUCCACUGAGCGCCACGCUCCUCUGGAAUGGAUCUGAACGGCACGACUCCGCACAUCUCACCCCCGGUACCAAAACCUGAAUUUCCUGGUUACUAUGCACUCGUACCUUUAGUGCUCCUCAUACUGGUGGGAGGUGCGGUGGCAGUGGUUUUUUACAUCAGAAGGAGAGCAAGGCUGGAGGAGCUGCGGCACCGGCUGAUUCCUCUCUACACUUAUGACCCCGCCGAGGACGAGGACGACUGGGGUGAUGCUGACAUACAGGAUGACGAGGAGGAGCUGGUUGAACCUCUGUACAAGGAAGCAAAACUCCACUUCACUUCGGGUUGAGGGACAGGAGAGUUGGUAAAGGAGGGAGUAUGCAAUUUGGAAAAGAUGUGCCUGCUCCCACAAACCUCACUGGAAAAAAAACAAAAAAAAAAACUGACUGCAUCCCUGGAGAUGUUUUCAGGCUACAGCUGCAUUGAGGACAAAUGUGUGUGUGCCAUGCUGUGUGUGACACCAGGUGGCACUAUGACUGUGUGUUUUGCCAUAAUGAAGCCUUAUCAGACUUGAUCUGAUUGAAUAAGGGAGGAAAAGUUGACAUGUUAUGAUUGGGAAAUAAAAUCCAAUUCAAUUUUUUGGUUUGUUUGUGAAUGUGUGAAUGUGUGUGUGUGUUGGCCCAAUUAUGUAUAAAAUGGCUUUGUGGACGCACCUGUUUCUCCUUGGAGAUCAGUGGGGUGUCUGCAGUCUGGACGCUCCUCCACAUGCUUGGUGGGGCUUCAGGAACAGUAAGAUGGGAUCACAAAGAAAGAGCAGGAUGGACACGCACACACGCUGCUCCCUGACCUCCAUCCUGCUUGUCACGGCUCUGGUGCUGCCUGCGUUCGCUCCGGAUACACUCCUGUGCUACUACUGUCCACUGCACCAGAAAGGGAAGCGGUGUGAGCCGAUCACCAGCCAGUGCCUGCCGGACCAGCGCUGCUCCAGCUCCAGAGGCCUCUACGGCUCCGUCCACAUCCUCUCCGCUCAGGGCUGUGUGGACAGGAACUCCUGCGGCUCCCAUGAGGUCGUCGCUCAUAAGGGAGCCAAGUAUAACGUCACUCACGUCUGCUGCUGCAAGGACAAAUGUAACUCUCCCCCGAAAUCAGACAGCAACCUGAAGACGCUGCUGGGGAUCUCUGGGAAGACAAAGGAGGGCCUCAAUGAUUACCAGGAGGAGACAUGUGUAACUGACACAGCGUCAAAGAAAGCUGCUUCUAAAUCCUAAAGUGUGACAGAGUCCUAAAGUGUGUCAUGAUUUUUAUUCUGGAGAGAGAAGGUGGGCUGGUUAACCAUCUUCCUGACAUACUGGAGUUAAAUGUUGAUGCUAUCUUUGCCAAAUAAAAUGAGAUAGAUUCAGACUUCCUCGGGUCUUGUUGUGCAUUAGAGCAGGUGUGCUGAAGGGUGUGGUCUGUUCUUAACAGGACUCACUGGAGCCUGUGCUGCGAUGAUGUUUUAAUCUGGAGAAGCUCCAAAAAGCUUGGACUGGAUUUCACAUCUUCAACAUGACUUGGUCUGGCAUCUUGUGUCUUUACUUCCUCCUUCCUUCGCUGCUCUGUGAGAACCUGCUCUGCUACUACAGCCCCAUCCACAUCAUCGGAGAGGGAGAUCCUCCGCAGGCCACUGCUACGGAGUGUUUUCCAAAUGAAAGGUGCUGCCAGGCUGAGGGCUACUACGGCGAACACCGGGCCCUGCUGAAGAGAGGCUGCAUGGCAGAGGAGGACAGAGAGGACACCAUGAGCUUCAUGGGGACACAAUACACCAUGAAUUACACUUGCUGUGACUGGGAAUUCUGUAACUCCUGCUCGGGCAUCGCGGCCAGACUCCACGUCAUCGGAGCGCUGGUGGCCGCGGUUGUGACGUUUGGUAACUUGUGACAAAAGAACGGUAUGUUUAAUGGCACCACGAGGAAUUCAGUGGCCUGACUGCAGCCUCAACCCGGCGUAGGGCUGAAGGUCUGCAGAAAUCCACACUGAACACCAAGUCUGAAGACACUGAGGUGUGAAAGGCUUUUAUCAACAACACACC
RNA transcript from Salarias fasciatus (jewelled blenny), 2342 nucleotides. It is a transcript of the gene named small integral membrane protein 29-like, with no coding region annotated. The transcript has 6 exons. The record is from RefSeq and is a predicted model, not a curated record. Lineage: Eukaryota; Metazoa; Chordata; Actinopteri; Blenniiformes; Blenniidae.